GACGAACGCUGGCGGCGUGCUUAACACAUGCAAGUCGAACGGAAAGGCCCUGCUUUUGUGGGGUGCUCGAGUGGCGAACGGGUGAGUAACACGUGAGUAACCUGCCCUUGACUUUGGGAUAACUUCAGGAAACUGGGGCUAAUACCGGAUAGGAGCUCCUGCUGCAUGGUGGGGGUUGGAAAGUUUCGGCGGUUGGGGAUGGACUCGCGGCUUAUCAGCUUGUUGGUGGGGUAGUGGCUUACCAAGGCUUUGACGGGUAGCCGGCCUGAGAGGGUGAUCGGCCCGCCUGGAAGGGAGACACGGCCCAUACGCCUACGGGAGCCAGCAGUAGUGAAUCGGGGGCAAUGGGCGAAAGCCUUACCAAAAAAGGCCGCGUGCGUGGGGAAGGUCUCCGGAUCGGAAAACACGGUUUUUGGGUAUGAACCAGUGUGUCCGUAUAAAUGCACGUGUUGACGGUAACUGAUCAAAAAGCCCCGGCUAACUACGUG
This 488-nucleotide ribosomal RNA is filed under the name uncultured bacterium. Its description in RNAcentral is "partial 16S ribosomal RNA". It matches the Rfam family "Bacterial small subunit ribosomal RNA", at positions 28 to 507 of the family's 1533-position model. The record is from RNAcentral.